UCCAGAGGGUGCAAGCGUUAAUCGGAAUUACUGGGCGUAAAGCGUGCGUAGACGGUCAUUUAAGUCGGGUGUGAAAUCCCCGGGCUCAACCUGGGAAUUACAUUCGAGACUGAAUGGCUAGGGUUCGGAAGAGGGAAGCGGAAUUUCCGGUGUAGCGGUGAAAUGCGUAGAUAUCGGAAGGAACAUCAGUGGCGAAAGCGGCUUCCUGGUCCAGAACCGACGUUCAGGCACGAAAGCGUGGGGAGAAAACAGG
RNAcentral lists this ribosomal RNA (253 nucleotides) under uncultured bacterium. RNAcentral's name for it is "partial 16S ribosomal RNA". It matches the Rfam family "Bacterial small subunit ribosomal RNA", at positions 524 to 776 of the family's 1533-position model. The record is from RNAcentral.